UGGAGUUGAGGUCACACGCUGGUCGAUGAACUCACAAGUGUAGGUAGUGUGCUAAAAGANUGGCAAGGUUUUCGCUAACACCCCACUCUGGUCCAGUGAGUGGGGUUUGAUAGUAACCUUUGCUACAAAA
RNAcentral lists this small nucleolar RNA (130 nucleotides) under Mus musculus (house mouse). Lineage: Eukaryota; Metazoa; Chordata; Mammalia; Rodentia; Muridae. The record is from RNAcentral.